GACGAACGCUGGCGGCGUGCUUAACACAUGCAAGUCGAACGGAAAGGCCCUGCUUUUGUGGGGUGCUCGAGUGGCGAACGGGUGCGUAACACGUGAGUAACCUGCCCUUGCCUUUGGGAUAACUUCAGGAAACUGGGGCUAAUACCGGAUAGGAGCUCCUGCUGCAUGGUGGGGGUUGGAAAGUUUCGGCGGUUGGGGAUGGACUCGCGGCUUAUCAGCUUGUUGGUGGGGUAGUGGCUUACCAAGGCUUUGACGGGUAGCCGGCCUGAGAGGGUGACCGGCCACAUUGGGACUGAGAUACGGCCCAGACUCCUACGGGAGGCAGCAGUGGGGAAUAUUGCACAAUGGGCGGAAGCCUGAUGCAGCAACGCCGCGUGCGGGAUGACGGCCUUCGGGUUGUAAACCGCUUUCGCCUGUGACGCAGCGUGAGUGACGGUAAUGGGUAAAGAAGCACCGGCUAACUACGUG
Molecule: ribosomal RNA, 468 nt
Filed under: uncultured bacterium
Lineage: Bacteria
Description: partial 16S ribosomal RNA
Rfam family: Bacterial small subunit ribosomal RNA
Source: RNAcentral